Molecule: ribosomal RNA, 407 nt
Filed under: uncultured bacterium
Lineage: Bacteria
Description: partial 16S ribosomal RNA
Rfam family: Bacterial small subunit ribosomal RNA
Source: RNAcentral
AUUGAACGCUGGCGGCAGGCUUAACACAUGCAAGUCGAGCGGAGUGGCGCACGGGUGAGUAAUGUAUAGCUAAUCUGCCCUACACUAGAGGACAACAGUUGGAAACGACUGCUAAUACUCUAUAGUGUAGGAUGAGGCUAUAUUGUAUCAGCUAGUUGGUGAGGUAAUGGCUCACCAAGGCUAUGACGCAUAACUGGUCUGAGAGGAUGAUCAGUCACACUGGAACUGAGACACGUUCCAGACUCCUACGGGAGGCAGCAGUGGGUAAUAUUGCUCAAGGGGGGAAACCCUGAAGCACCACCGCCGCGUGGAGGAUGACACUUUCGGAGCGUAAACUCCUUUUGUUAGGGAAGCGGUACCUAACGAAUAAGCACCGGCUAACUCCGUGCCAGCAGCCGCGGUAAUAC